This is a long non-coding RNA of Pygocentrus nattereri (red-bellied piranha), 7656 nucleotides long. RefSeq lists it as uncharacterized. The transcript has 2 exons. Lineage: Eukaryota; Metazoa; Chordata; Actinopteri; Characiformes; Serrasalmidae. The record is from RefSeq and is a predicted model, not a curated record.
GCCAAGCCCAACCUCGCAAGAAAUAGCACUUUACUCGCGUACUCUUAGUAAUAUAUCAUUACUACUACUAGCCUCGUUGUUUGUGGGGUUUGAAGUUUACACAUGAUUUGCCUGAGCGAGAUGAUAGGACCAAUGAUAUAUCUAAUUUAUUUAUUAUCUUAUUUUUCUGAAGUGGGCAUUAAGGCCACUGGGAGAGCCAGGCUUCGUGUCACUUAUUUAUCAUGGUUGAGAUGGUCAGGGAUGGCAAAGUGCUGAAGGUCAGUGCGUCGUGGUCAGCUUUGGAAAAUCAUCAUCACCAUCAUCAUCAUCAUCAUCAUCAUCAAAACUGCUCUCAUCUGAGUCGGUUAGUAAAAGAGCAUCAGCUGUAAGUCUAAAUAGGGAAUAAGUGACUAAUUAUCACAUAAUUGCGCGUAAUUGAGCACAGGAGUCCCACUCGGCACACCCGAGGUUCUGAUUCGUUUACACUUCCUUAAUCACUGCUUAUCUCACCAAAUGCGUUUCAGUGUAGCUAAGACAGAAACCUUUCCUGGUGUGGGCCUGUAUGUUCAUCUUAACAAAGGGGUUGUUUUUGAUGGAGAAGAUGGUAAAACUUAGACAAAUGUACGACUUAAUCUAGACCUGUGGGCUGUUUGAGACCGUUUAUGGGCCUAGAGCGCCAUCUAGUGGGCAGAGCGGCGAAGGAAGGAUCCUUGCAGACUUUUUUUGGAGGCAAAGGCGUUUCUAUAGCAACCUUCCAGACUGCUCUGGAUCUCCUGGCAUCAGGCAAUUUGUUGCCUUAAAUUCCUUUCACGUAAAUAUAGCAAAGGCGGGUCGUUGCUUCUAAUCGUGCUGCUUCGUAACGCCGACGUUAGUAAUGUAGUUAGAGCGAUGCAAAGGAAGCGAGACGGAGAAGAACCUAUUCGGCAGCUACAGCAUUUCGCAAUGUGUGUCUAACUGUAAGAACGUGAACGUGUCGUAGUCCUGGCUUCUUUUGCAAUGUAAUAGUGAAACUGGUAGGUGGGCUUUCGAAGUGCUAAACUACUCAAUGGUGUUCUGUUUUUUUUUUGUUUGUUUGUUUUUGAGGGUCGUGACAUGGGGGCGGGAGGUGGGUUAACAAAGCAGACACACUUAUUGCACAACACAGUGGGACACAGGAUGAGAACGAAGCCUUCGGAUGCAAACCUGCGCCUGAUUUGGGGGCAGUUCUGCGGUUCCACUCCGCGACUGCAGACUCUGGACACUAAAGCCAGUGCUGCUGAGGAGAGGGCGCCGGAGUGCGGCGUGAGGAGCUCAGACUCGGAACCCUAUUGGCUGGUUUGCGAGGCGCUGCAGCCAAUCACGCGAUGUCAAUAGAGGCUAAAUGGAAAUACACGCUCAGACGUGAUGAGAACUGUUGCAGCCUGACGACUGCUCCCCACUGUCUGGUGGAGGAGGUUCCUGCAGGAAAACGAGGAACAGCGAGAUGAUCCUUGGCACAGAUUUCUGGAUCAACAGACAAACAGGAAGAAAAAUGAGAACCAAGAGUCGCCUCACCACUCCAUGGACUCAGAGGUCAAACAGACCAGGCAGCAAUCUCACACUUCAAAGAUGGCAACUGAAAUAAAGUGAGCACGGACGUUACGAUGUUCAGGCGUAACGUAGGGAGGGCCACAAACGUUGUUUCCUUGCAGAAAUGCCUCAAAGGAUCUCGAAAAAGGGAUGCUUUGUCAAACGUGGAGUCUAACUGAACGGCAGCAUUAUGGACAACGUCACAGACUGAGGCUUAGAGACAUGCUGAACUGAGGUAGAGGAGAAUUUACUUGAAUCACAGAUCAUCUACAUAUAUGCUUUAUGAGACACUAAACGUGUUCUUGAUGUCUUUUAGGAAACAACAGGCUAUAAUGACAGGAGUGUGUCUGUGUGUGUGUGUGUGUGUGUGUGUGUGUGUGUGUGUAUGCGUGUGCAUGUAUGUUCUCACAGGUACACAUCAAGAAUAUGUCACAGAUAAACACUGCAUAUCAUGUGCUAUACCAAAUCAUAUUGCAUGCCUGGAAAUACAGAGCAUGCAAUCAGACAUAAAGACAACAACACAAAAAGAAAUCUUCAUUUUCACUCUUUGUUAACCAACAUCUCGAAACAGCUUCAAGUGUAAUCGUCAAGUAAUAUGGGAACAAUGAUGAUGGUGUAGAUUAAAAAAAAUGGUUAACAUUAUUAAAUCUCUAUUUUUUUAAGGUAUCAUAUGUUUUGUAUGAAAAGAAAUCGGUUAAACUGGUGACAGGUUAUUUUUUUAAAGCGUUUUUGCUAAAUGAUUUUCUUCUUUCUCGUGACUUAUUUUGCCUUGUUGGAACAGCAACUGAAAGAACAGAUGAACUCUAGAGUUUUGGCAGUGUAGAAAGCCUCACACCCCUUUUCUCCUCAAACAAAGUGUCGGUGCAGGGCAAAAGCUGCAGGGUCUUUGACUUCACCUUUCUUUCUUUACUCCUUUUUAUCUGAUUGUGAUUGUUCAUAUAGGUUGAAAUAACAUUUGGAUCAGAAUGCUGUAUCACCUGUCGUUUAAAAAAAAAAGAGUAUCUACCUCAAUGUCAUGAUCUUCAGUUUUAAGAAGCUUCGCCCUGGGAAACAGUUCCGCUGCAUCAAUCAUGUAACUGUCUGUGCGGUCAUUAAACCAGUGCGUUGUUUACCCUGCCAUGGAGUCAGGUGAACUUAUAUGUCAUGUUCCUAAAAAUAGUUUGACCUGCUUGUCCUCAUUGUCCAUUCUUGAGGCCUGCUGUAUGUGUAUGUAUUAGUCUAGCUGAAGCCCUUUGACAUGUUGGUUUGUGCAGUAAAGCACAGUCUAUACAAAUAUUAAAGGGCCCAUAUAUUGGAAAUUGAUGUAGUAUGAAAACGUUACAGUUUCAAAACAUACCAUUCACUCUCAAGUCAUAUAUGGCAGCUAAGCUAAAACUUUUUUUAUGAUGUCACAAAAACAUUUACAUAUAUCUGCCUGUUUAGCCUACAGCAGUUUAGACCCACCCAUUCAUGUUGAUUAGAGUUAUUAGGAGAGUUUCAGCCCAGACCGCUUUCUGACUGAGACACAAUAUAAGAAUAUUAGAACAAUUAAAACAGAGCUCAUUUACACAUAUCGAUCUUAGAGUAUUUGACAGAUUUUUCAAGUUUUCUGCAUUAUAUCAUCAACCAUCAACUAAAUCAUCAAGAUCUAAACAGUCACUCACAGUGGUUUGAUGUGAAAAUCAUAAUUGUUCACAAUGGCAGAUAGGCUCUAGACGUCUUAUCCUUCUAAGAAGCUACAUCAAAGGAAUUAUUCUAUAAAAUUUUCUGUGUCCUGAUGCCUGAGACAUUGAUUUAUAAUAGUAAGGAGAUAGGAUAUUGGCCUACACUGUAUUUUUUAAAACACAAUCAUGGUGGAAGUACAUACAGGGUGUUGUAAGGCAAAGUGGUCCCCAAAGAAAACAUGUUUAUGAAUUUUACACAGUUUUACCAUUAUUAACAUUACACAUCUUCUGUUUUCAUAUGUAGAGACACUGAAUGUUUUGGAUAAUAAAUAAAAUGGCUAUAUUUGCAUCAGGACACCUGGUUCACAUCAUUUACGUUACAUUUAUGACAUUUGGCAGACGCUCUUAUCCAUUUCAUAAUUUUUACACAGGUAGGAGAAGGUAGUGUUAGGAGUCUUGCCCAAGGACUCUUAUUGGUAUAGUGUAGGGUGCUUCUCCAGGUUGUGGGGAAUGACUUUGUUGGUACUGCAACAAGUAAAUUAUGCAGAAUUUUUUAAAUCGAGAGAUUGGAAAAUGUGGAAAACCACACAAACACUACAAGUGGAUCUCAAGAAAUACAAGAAAAUUGUGGGCUCUCUAAUAUCUGACCUUGACCAACAGGCCACUGAUUUUUUAACAAUACUAUCCACACCAUCCAAUAAGAUGUUAUAAUAAUAAGAUGUUUCCCAUAGCCAGUGUAUUUAGAAACCUGCAUCUUUUUUCACUUGUUCCUGAAAUACAAAAUGGUCCUUGAGCAAAGAGCGUCUGAAUAUCCUGAAAAAGUGAUACAUUACAUUUACUUGACUCAUCGGCACAAUUACAUCAGCACAAUGUCUUCUUUCGGUUUACUUAUUUUAGGCAAUAAUUGUGCUGCUGUAAUAUGUUUUAUUCAUGUGGAAGUGAUGUACAUGUUUAAAUCACAUACAUUCAGCGCGUUACUAUUUUUCAGAAACAGAGUGGAAAUGCUUAUUUCUUUUCCAUGUCCAUAAUCCACCUUCAGCUGCAUUAAUGGAUCACACCACCACACAGCGUUAGCAAACAAGAAUCAAUGCGACUUUAUUUGUGUGAGAAAAGCAAUAGUAUAGAAAGCCAUGCAUUUCAGUCACUUACACUUUGAGCACUUCCUGGAGGAAGCAAGAUGCAUUUGCUUUGUUUUCUCUGUAAAUGUUCUUCUUUUUUCUGUUCAUUUGUUAAUUUUACUUUCAUUUGUGGGCUAUUUUUGAUAAAUAAAUACUUGUUUGUCAUCGUUCUGAAAUUUCAGGUGUACAAGAUGUUGAUUGUUGUUUUCUGCGUAGAAGAAUACCUGUUAGAGGAGUUAUUGUAUGGGAGAAUGCGAGAUGUGUACGCGGCUAACAUGUUGGUGCAUGACUGCAAAUGUACACCUCGCCUCUUUAUAUUUUGCACAUUACAUUGAAAUCACAGCAGUGCAAAUUGUGCCAUUUGUUUGCUUUCUAUUUCUGUUUAGAAAUAGAAAGUAUGUUAAAUACUUUAAUAAAUGAUGCUAAUUAUUGCUCAUAUUGAUUUAACAUUAUCUCCCCUCUAGAUUUAACAUGAUCAUUUAUUUGCUACAGAUUUCACAAUGUUUCACCAUAUGCAAUGAUGAACUAGAUUUCUAAGCACAUGUUCUGCUCUAUUCAUUAAGUAAUUGUAGUAAAGCUGUGCAUAUUUGUCACCUAUAAUUCAGCAAUGCACAGACAGAGCUAACUGCACCAAUGCCAUCUUAGUUGGUAUACUGUUUACUGCAUCCACUAUUGUUAAGAUUUGUUUAGGUGAGAUAAAAAUGGAGUCGCGUCUCAAGAAUAGCACUGUGCUGUUGGUUCACUUUGGUUUCUGUGAGCUUUGUUGUUCAUGGGUGCUCUCUAACCUGUCACCAAGCUUUUUUUAUUUUAAAGGACACAACAGUGUUGAUCUCUUAGAGUUUUGUUCUCUUGUAAGCAAACUCUAUAGUGGUUAAUGUCACAUGACCUGGGGUUCAAUUCCCUGCUCGGGUAACUGCUUUGGAAGACACCGCUAACACAACAUCUACUUUCCUCGGAAACAUGAUUAGACUGUCUAUCUUGAUAAGAAUGCCUGCCAUAUCUGUUGUAAAGGAAAGUAUCAUGUACACAGGCCUGUAUGAGCACCUGUUUGAGAUUCUCCACGGUUUUUAUAGCAAAGCAUUAUUGAUGAUUGGAGCCCACGAACAUACAUUAUCAAAGCGCAUCUUGAAAAAGCCACGGUUAGUCCCCAUUGUGCUAUGUUCAAACCCUUCCAAUUGUGCUAAAACACUCUUAAGGGAUGCAUAUAUUUAACCACCACUAAAUGGGAUUAGCCAACAGUGAUGCAGCAUAGCUUUCCACCAGCUAGCAACUGACCCACUUGCGGAAAGUAAGCAGGUGUUCUUGUCGUCGGUCUACCCCUGGGUCCCUGUAUCCCUGGUGAUUUAGGAUGAAGCCAGCAUUAAUGUUUUUGUCCUGGGGUGCGCGAUGUCACUUUCAAUUUUGUAGAACUCAUCACAUAAGUAUACCCCUGUGACUACAAGCAACAAAAAACUUUAGAGCUUUAGAGAGAAUGCAAGUGAAUGCAUUAACUUCAAGGUGGACUGCAGCUUUGAUUUCAGCCUGGCUAGCACAUACUGACCACAUAUAUAUAUAUAUAUAUAUAUAUAUAUAUAUAUAUAAAAUGUGCCUUUUAAGUGGGGCAUGUAUUUCACAUUGUACGCGCAUUGCUAUCUGAGGGAUUUGCACAGCAAACGUUCUUCCAUUCGUUUUUUAAUGGAUGUGGAAUUGCAGCAAAUAAAUCAUAUGGCUUGUUGGAGUUGUGUAAUGAUGUUGGCUGUAUAAAGCAUGUAUGGAGAGAUUUAACCAGAAUAUCUGCUUCGGCCUACAGUGUGCAGUGCUGUUAUAGUCUGUAGAACUGUACACGUUUGAAACAUUGAUUUUCUCGCCAUCUUGUAACUCAAAAAUUUGAUUCAGGGCAUGUAAUUAUAUUGGCAUGUAAUUAUAUGUCCAAAUCAUUUCCAUACACUGUUGAUCACCACAGUACUUCUGGAGGCUACUAUGGGGAAUGAUGUUUAGGACAGGCCAAACGUGGUUAGGUAUUUGUACUAGAUUAUAGGUAGAAUCUUGCAGGUUCAUAGUUCUGUAUGGUGAGCAAUAAUGCAUGUUUUAUCAUAUAUGUAUAUAUAUAUAUAUAUAUAUAUAUAUAUAUAUAUAUAUGUAUGUAUAUGUAUGUAUAUGUAUAUAUAUAUGAAUGGUGCCUUACAUAUUUCAUGUCACAUUGAUCUCAUUAAGAUCUCAUUAUGGAAUGCAAACAGCUAACUUCGAAAAACAUAGAUAGAACUAGUUUUGAUGGUGAUGUUCUUUAGAUGACUUAGAUCCUGUGGACUGAAAGUUAGAGUCUAGCAGCUUUGAUAGCUUAUAUAGCAACACUAAUGACUGAGCUUGACAAACUGACUGAAGUAAAUAGUAUAUGAAUGUACUGAAUGUAAGUCUUCCGGGAUUGUAUUCUGGAAUGACUCAGUGUUAAACUAUGUACAAGGCAAUACACCCCACAUUUACUCUGGAUGUCUGUAACUGGCCCUCAUAAUCCAACUCAAAAUGCCUUAUCAAAAAAUCUGUGUGAAGGACCAAAAUGAGCACAUUAAUGUCCAGUCAUUGCUUAUGGUUGGUUUUCCAGAGGAUGGCGCUGCAAAGACCGCCUUUGUAUGCUCUCUAAUUGCUAUACAGUCUUGCUUUGUGUGCAAAUCAUGUAUGUCAUACGUGGUCAGUGAAUAGUCAACCGUUCAUCCUGGCAAAGCUCAUUAAACUACUUCUCUCCCAGUUUUUUUAUUUCAGUAUGUAGAUUCAAACAACCCCAAAAGUAUGACGUAAGCUAUAGCGUAAUGUAAGCAGUAUUGUAUCUAUCCAGCUGCUUUAUCCUUCUGUGGAGUAACUUUACGAAUGUGCUGCCAGUAGACAGAGCAUGACCAAAACACUAGUGCAUUUCUGAAAGAAAAUGAAAUUCUCCAAGACGAUACACACAAUAUCCACCCGUCUUCAGUCCUGUGUGCUGUCAUCCUUUAUGUAUGUGUGGGUAUUGGUCUACAGUGUAGCCUUGCCCAUUUGUACCAUGUAAACACUGUGCAGUCUUUUACCAUUUAUUCACUAUGAGCUGUGAGAAGCUCCGAACGCAUUGUGUUUCGUCCUGCUUCUGUACUGAACCAUUAGCCAUUACUCGUAUUGUGCAAAAUACAACAGAGACCUUAAAGUUAAAUGGGCGUUCUGUACAGAUGUCUCCUGUCUUGUGCUCUUAACAUGACUGGGUGAUGAAUUACAUGUGUGGCUUAUUAUGUACAGUGUGUGAAAUACAGUAAAUUAAAUAAUGUAAUUGAUAGAGAGUAUAUUAUACAUCGAAAAUAAUGUAUAUAUGUAUGAACUGUAAACGUACAUAGGAGAUGUACGCAAUAAAAUCCAUUUGAAUAUUAAAA